RNAcentral lists this long non-coding RNA (1092 nucleotides) under Betta splendens (Siamese fighting fish). RNAcentral's name for it is "lncRNA (ENSBSLG00000010157.1)". Lineage: Eukaryota; Metazoa; Chordata; Actinopteri; Anabantiformes; Osphronemidae. The record is from RNAcentral.
AUGAGGAGGAGGAGAACAUACGGCUCGAUGGCACAGGAGGCUGAGGAGAGUGGAGGCCCGAGAACAGGAGGAGAACCCCACAGGAGCAGAACCCCACAGAGCAGAACCACACAGGAGCAGAAAAAACACAGGAGCAGAAAAAACACAGGAGCAGAACCCCACAGAGCAGAACCACACAGGAGCAGAAAAAACACAGGAGCAGAACCCCACAGAACAGAACCCCACAGGAGCAGAACCCCACAGGAGCAGAACCCCACAGAACAGAACCCCACAGGAGCAGAACCCCACAGAACAGAACCCCACAGAAAAGAACCCCACAGGAGCAGAACCCCACAGGAGCAGAACCCCACGGAGCAGAACCCCACGGAGCAGAACCCCACAGAACAGAACCCCACGGAGCAGAACCCCACAGGAGCAGAACCCCACAGGCGCAGAAAAAACACAGGAGCAGAACCCCACAGAACAGAACCCCACAGGAGCAGAACCCCACAGGAGCAGAACCCCACAGGAGCAGAACCCCAUGGAGCAGAACCCCACAGAACAGAACCCCACGGAGCAGAACCCCACAGGAGCAGAACCCCACAGGCGCAGAAAAAACACAGGAGCAGAACCCCACAGGAGCAGAACCCCACAGGCGCAGAACCCCACAGGCGCAGAAAAAACACAGGAGCAGAAAAAACACAGGAACAGAACCACACAGAACAGAACCCCACAGAAAAGAACCCCACAGGAGCAGGACCCCACAGGAGCAGAACCCCACGGGCGCAGAAAAAACACAGGAGCAGAAAAAACACAGGAGCAGAACCCCACAGAACAGAACCUCACAGGAGCAGAACCCCACAGGAGCAGAAAAAACACAGGAGCAGAAAAAACACAGGAACAGAACCACACAGAAGCAGAAAAAACACAGGAGCAGAACCCCACAGAACAGAACCCCACAGAACAGAACCCCACAGAGCAGAACCCCACGGGAGCAGAACCCCACAGAACCCCACAGAACAGGCCUGUGAGCACCUCCUCGGCUCAGGGGACGUUCUGCCCACAGGUGCGUCUGUAUCGGAGCAGUCUGAGCGCCGUGCUCCUCACACCUGA